AAAAUCACUAUAACAUUACAUUAAAUAAUGCUUCGUCAGUGUAAAUCCAAAACAAUUCACGUCUCUGUAGGAGUAAUUCAAUGUCGCCACCUCUAGGUGGCAAAGUCACUUUCUCAAUCCCACAAAACCGUAAAGAGGUAACAUCGUGAUUCAAAGUUACAAAAUGUGCCGCAACUGGAUAAUUCAUAUAUUUUCUUCUGAUCGAACUCUUAUGUUCACUAAUUCUUUGUUUUAGUUGGCGUGACGUUUUCCCCACGUAGCCAAUACCACAAGGACAACGAAUCAAAUAAACCACAUGAGUGGAAACACAAGUAAUCACAGAUUUAAUACAAUAUUUUUUGCCAGUUCUAGGGUGACAGAAAAAUGAUG
This is a long non-coding RNA of Rhinichthys klamathensis goyatoka, 369 nucleotides long. RefSeq lists it as uncharacterized. The transcript has 2 exons. Lineage: Eukaryota; Metazoa; Chordata; Actinopteri; Cypriniformes; Leuciscidae. The record is from RefSeq and is a predicted model, not a curated record.